UUUAAUCUUAUGAAGCUACUGGAACCGACGCCCGUCGAUGGGCCACGCGGGAAUAGGAAUAAUUCAUCCGUCGACUGCACCCGGAGAUUGUCCCGGAGGACGAGGUUUCGGACAGGAGUUCGAUUCUCCUCAUCUCCACCA
Molecule: transfer-messenger RNA, 141 nt
Filed under: Butyrivibrio sp.
Lineage: Bacteria; Bacillati; Bacillota; Clostridia; Lachnospirales; Lachnospiraceae
Description: partial transfer-messenger RNA
Rfam family: transfer-messenger RNA
About the family: Bacterial tmRNA, also known as 10Sa RNA or SsrA, is named for its dual tRNA and mRNA-like properties.
Source: RNAcentral